CCCUUAGAUGUUCGGGGCCGCACGCGCGCUACACUGAAGGAAUCAGCACGUCUUUCUCCUUGUCCGAAAGGACUGGGUAACCCGCUGAACCUCCUUCGUGCUAGGGAUUGGGGCUUGUAAUUCUUCCCCAUGAACGAGGAAUUCCCAGUAAGCGCGAGUCAUAAGCUCGCGUUGAUUACGUCCCUGCCCUUUGUACACACCGCCCGUCGCUACUACCGAUUGGAGGGUUUAGUGAGAUCCUCGGAUUGGUCCCGGAGCGGCCUCUGGUCGUGCCGGAGUGCCGAAAAGAAUGUCGAACUUGAUCAUCUAGAGGAAGUAAAAGUCGUAACA
Molecule: ribosomal RNA, 330 nt
Filed under: uncultured eukaryote
Lineage: Eukaryota
Description: partial 18S ribosomal RNA
Rfam family: Eukaryotic small subunit ribosomal RNA
Source: RNAcentral